This 145-nucleotide ribosomal RNA is filed under the name Aeromonas caviae. Its description in RNAcentral is "partial 23S ribosomal RNA". The stretch from base 1 to 124 matches the Rfam family "Bacterial large subunit ribosomal RNA", at positions 2807 to 2925 of the family's 2925-position model. The record is from RNAcentral. Lineage: Bacteria; Pseudomonadati; Pseudomonadota; Gammaproteobacteria; Aeromonadales; Aeromonadaceae.
AGUCAUCCCUGACCCCUUGAGGGUCCUAAAGGGCCGUUGGAGACCACAACGUUGAUAGGUGGGGUGUGUAAGCGUAGCGAUACGUUGAGCUAACCCAUACUAAUUACCCGUGAGGCUUAACCAUACAACACCCAAGAAGUGUUCU